RNAcentral lists this long non-coding RNA (266 nucleotides) under Salvia miltiorrhiza (redroot sage). RNAcentral describes it as "long non-coding RNA (SMIL_LNC011807)". The record is from RNAcentral. Lineage: Eukaryota; Viridiplantae; Streptophyta; Magnoliopsida; Lamiales; Lamiaceae.
AAACAUUCCCGCCUCUUUGUCUCGCUAGGAUCGCCGCCACCUAUUUUGCACGGAUUUCUUGUUGCUUGGGUGUCAUCCUCGACGUAUCCAUGAAUAAAAUUUUAUCGUCAUGAAUCUCUCGCUUGAGUCGAUUCUUGGCGAGAUUUGUGCGUGUCUCGCCCAUGAAUUCCACGUACUCAGUAGGAGGGAUUGAACCUUCUGACGCUUUGCCCUGUGCCUUUGCCACCUUGAGAGAAAGUUGAGGGAGAAAUUGAGAAAGAAUGUAG